AUAUCCGACUCCAAACAAACAAACGCAAACAGGAAACAGAAUGCCAAUAGAUGGACUUAUAUCCGACUCCAAACACACACACGCUAACAGGAAACAGAAUGCCAAUAGAUGGACUUAUAUCCGACUCCAAACAAACAAACGCAAACAGGAAACAGAAUGCCAAUAGAUGGACUUAUAUCCGACUCCAAACACACACACGCUAACAGGAAACAGAAUGCCAAUAGAUGGAC
This 230-nucleotide long non-coding RNA is filed under the name Lathyrus oleraceus (garden pea). Its description in RNAcentral is "Pisum sativum (pea) long non-coding RNA (PSAT_LNC011905)". Lineage: Eukaryota; Viridiplantae; Streptophyta; Magnoliopsida; Fabales; Fabaceae. The record is from RNAcentral.